This 465-nucleotide ribosomal RNA is filed under the name uncultured bacterium. RNAcentral's name for it is "partial 16S ribosomal RNA". It matches the Rfam family "Bacterial small subunit ribosomal RNA", at positions 28 to 507 of the family's 1533-position model. The record is from RNAcentral.
GACGAACGCUGGCGGCGUGCUUAACACAUGCAAGUCGAACGGAAAGGCCCUGCUUGCAGGGUACUCGAGUGGCGAACGGGUGAGUAACACGUGGGUGAUCUGCCCUGCACUUCGGGAUAAGCCUGGGAAACUGGGUCUAAUACCGGAUAGGAGCCAUUUUUAGUGUGAUGGUUGGAAAGUUUUUUCGGUGUAGGAUGAGCUCGCGGCCUAUCAGCUUGUUGGUGGGGUAAUGGCCUACCAAGGCGGCGACGGGUAGCCGGCCUGUGAGGGUGGACGGCCACAUUGGGACUGAGAUACGGCCCAGACUCCUACGGGAGGCAGCAGUGGGGAAUAUUGCACAAUGGGCGCCAGCCUGAUGCAGCGACGCCGCGUGGGGGAUGACGGCCUUCGGGUUGUAAACUCCUUUCGCUAGGGACGAAGCUUUUUGUGACGGUACCUAGAUAAGAAGCACCGGCUAACUACGUG